Molecule: ribosomal RNA, 248 nt
Filed under: uncultured bacterium
Lineage: Bacteria
Description: partial 16S ribosomal RNA
Rfam family: Bacterial small subunit ribosomal RNA
Source: RNAcentral
UACAGAGGGUGCGAGCGUUAAUCGGAAUUACUGGGCGUAAAGCGCACGUAGUCGGCUUUGCAAGUCGGGUGUGAAAUCCCCGGGCUCAACCUGGGAACUGCAUCCGAGACUGCAUUGCUAGAGUAUGGGAGAGGGAAGCGGAAUUUCUGGUGUAGCAGUGAAAUGCGUAGAUAUCAGAAGGAACAUCAGUGGCGAAGGCGGCUUCCUGGACCAAUACUGACGAUCAGGUGCGAAAGCGUGGGGAGCAA